RNAcentral lists this ribosomal RNA (447 nucleotides) under uncultured bacterium. RNAcentral describes it as "bacterial SSU rRNA". It matches the Rfam family "Bacterial small subunit ribosomal RNA", at positions 29 to 518 of the family's 1533-position model. The record is from RNAcentral.
AACGAACGCUGGCGGCAGGCCUAACACAUGCAAGUCGAGCGGGGACUUCGGUCCUAGCGGCGGACGGGUGAGUAACGCGUGGGAACGUGCCCUUUGCUUCGGAAUAGCCCCUGGAAACGGGGAGUAAUACCGGAUGUGCCCUAUGGGGGAAAGAAUUUCGGCAAAGGAUCGGCCCGCGUUGGAUUAGGUAGUUGGUGGGGUAAUGGCCUACCAAGCCGACGAUCCAUAGCUGGUUUGAGAGGAUGAUCAGCCACACUGGGACUGAGACACGGCCCAGACUCCUACGGGAGGCAGCAGUGGGGAAUCUUAGACAAUGGGCGCAAGCCUGAUCUAGCCAUGCCGCGUGAGCGAUGAAGGCCUUAGGGUUGUAAAGCUCUUUCGUGGGGGGAAGAUAAUGACGGUACCCCCAAGAAGAAGCCCCCGGCUAACUCCCGUGCCAGCAGCCGC